CUAACUGUAUCGGAUUACUGGGCGUAAGCGUGCGUAGGCGGUUUCGCAAGUCCGAUGUGAAAUCCCCGGGCUUAACCUGGGAACUGCGUUGGAAACUACGAGGCUCGAGUGCGGCAGAGGGGGGUGGAAUUCCAGGUGUAGCAGUGAAAUGCGUAGAGAUCUGGAGGAACACCGAUGGCGAAGGCAGCCCCCUGGGUUAGCACUGACGCUGAUACACGAAAGCGUGGGGAGCAAACAGGAUUAGAUACCCUGGUAGUCCACGCCCUAAACGAUGGCAACUAGUUGUUGGAGGAUGAACUCCUUUAGUAACGCAGCUAACGCGUGAAGUUGCCCGCCUGGGGAGUACGGUCGCAAGAUUAAAACUCAAAGGAAUCGACGGGGGCCCGCACAAGCGGUGGAUGAUGUGGUUCAAUUCGAUGCAACGCGAAAAACCUUACCUACCCUUGACAUGCCAGGAAGCCUGAUGAAAGUCGGGUGUGCCCGAAAGGGAACCUGGACACAGGUGCUGCAUGGCUGUCGUCAGCUCGUGUCGUGAGAUGUUGGGUUAAGUCCCGCAACGAGCGCAACCCUUGUCAUUAGUUGCUACAUUCAGUUGGGCACUCUAAUGAGACUGCCGGUGACAAACCGGAGGAAGGUGGGGACGACGUCAGGUCCUCAUGGCCCUUAUGGGUAGGGCUACACACGUCAUACAAUGGCGCAUACAGAGGGAAGCCAACCCGCGAGGGGGAGCAAAUCCCAGAAAGUGCGUCGUAGUCCGGAUUGAAGUCUGCAACUCGACUUCAUGAAGUCGGAAUCGCUAGUAAUCGCGGAUCAGCAUGUCGCGGUGAAUACGUUCCCGGGCCUUGUACACACCGCCCGUCACACCAUGGGAGUGGGUUUCACCAGAAGCAGGUAGCCUAACCGCAAGGGGGGCGCCUACCACGGUGAGAUUCAUGACUGGGGUGAAGUCGUAACAAGGUAAC
This 962-nucleotide ribosomal RNA is filed under the name uncultured bacterium. RNAcentral describes it as "bacterial SSU rRNA". It matches the Rfam family "Bacterial small subunit ribosomal RNA", at positions 535 to 1500 of the family's 1533-position model. The record is from RNAcentral.